RNA transcript from Rosa rugosa (rugosa rose), 1324 nucleotides. It is a transcript of the gene named probable AMP deaminase, with no coding region annotated. The record is from RefSeq and is a predicted model, not a curated record. NCBI's taxonomy places the organism in Eukaryota, Viridiplantae, Streptophyta, Magnoliopsida, Rosales, Rosaceae. The transcript has 10 exons.
CAUUUAUUUAAUUUGAAAAGUAUACAAUGUUUGGGGACAAAGUCAAUUGUUGUGGUAUUUCAAUAAACUACAGAAUAUUUGCAGGCAUUUCAACUCUGACCAUCCCUGUGCAGUUCCAAGCAAACAAAAUGGACUCAAUUUGGAUAAAUACUGACAAACCAAGGGACAUUGUUUAACGUUUAUGAGCCAAAGAAGAACGAUCUAAACUUUGCACUCAAAGAAGAAGUGUGAAAGCCAAGAUUGGGAAGCUACUGUUCACUGUUGUCAGCAAGCUCUUAUUGUUUGCACUUUGAGUUUUGACACCUCCACAUUUGAACUAUGUAUUGCUGGAGCUAUCAUUGUCAAGUUUCCUGUUUUGGGGAGCUCAUCUCCGGGACCUUCCAAUACCAAAGUUUUUGGCCAUUUUGUCAGCAUGGGAUUUUCCAAUAAUGGGGGCAAACUACUUUGAAGCUACUGUCAAAUGGUUGCCAAAGCUAUUCAGGAACAUGGCGAGGAAAGCGCCGAUUCAAUCCGUCACAUCAUUGUUUUCAGCAAUAGUACUAUCUUCAACUGUCGAGAUCUCAGCCUCAUUCUGUUUUACAUGCUUUGACAGUCCUUUGAGAUCAGAUAGACAAGUUUCUUAGCUCCAUGAUGAAAACAUGUCAUUGUUACUUUCCUUUUUCUCUUUUUCCUGUGCAAUCAUACAAUAAAAACAAAUGUGAGGGCAAGCGUGUUGCUGAGACCUUGAUGUUUGACUAUCAUCGGCAACAUGGGAUAGCUUCUGGGCACAGUUUUUACUGCCUAUGCUUUCUGUUUUCAAAAAAGGCUCAGGGAGAUUUUCCUUAAGCAGGAUAAUCUUAUCCAAGGCCGUUUCCUUGCUGAGCUGACAAAGCAAGUGUUUUCUGAUCUUUCUGCCAGUAAAUAUCAGAUGGCUGAGCACAGAAUAUCAAAAUAUGGCAAGAAGCAAAGUGAGUGGGACCAAAUGGCUAGUUGGAUAGUGAACAAUGAAUUGUACAGUGAGAAUGUUGUAUGGUUGAUACAGCUGCCACGGCUGUACAAUAUAUACCAGGAAAUGGGAUAUAUUGUACAUACUGUAUCAUUAUGUGAUAGGUUCAAGAUGCAUCCAGUGGCCAUGAAAUUAGAAGGGAGUCCAUAGGAGAAGGAGUUCAUCCAGAUUCAACUAGUGAUCAAGAAAUUGAGCACGCUCCAGUACUCACCAAGCCCUCUAGUUAAUGAUAAAUAGUAUUGUGGUCAAGUCUGCUUUUGAACAAUAUUAAGUUUGGGAAUGUUUCUUCCAGAGUUUCAGUUAUCUAGUAUGGUAGAUUCUUAGUAGAUUCGUAUAAUU